This 728-nucleotide ribosomal RNA is filed under the name uncultured organism. RNAcentral's name for it is "bacterial SSU rRNA". It matches the Rfam family "Bacterial small subunit ribosomal RNA", at positions 527 to 1251 of the family's 1533-position model. The record is from RNAcentral.
GGAGGGAUCUAGCGUUAUUCGGAAUUACUGGGCGUAAAGCGAGCGUAGGCUGAUUUGUAAGUUGGAUGUGAAAUCCCAGAGCUUAACUCUGGAACUGCAUCCAAAACUACAUUUCUUGAGUUUGGUAGAGGAGAGUGGAAUUCCUAGUGUAGAGGUGAAAUUCGUAGAUAUUAGGAGGAACACCAGUGGCGAAGGCGACUCUCUGGGCCAAUACUGACGCUGAGGUUCGAAAGCGUGGGUAGCGAACAGGAUUAGAUACCCUGGUAGUCCACGCAGUAAACGAUGAAUGCUAGAUGUUGGAAACAUUAGUUUUCGGUAUCGCAGCUAACGCAUUAAGCAUUCCGCCUGGGAAGUACGGCCGCAAGGCUAAAACUCAAAUGAAUUGACGGGGACCCGCACAAGCGGUGGAUCAUGUGGUUUAAUUCGAAGCAACGCGAAGAACCUUACCGGCCCUUGACAUACCAAUCGCGAACUUAAGAGAUUAAGUUCUUCACUUCGGGUGGAUUGGAUACAGGUGCUGCAUGGCUGUCGUCAGCUCGUGUCGUGAGAUGUUGGGUUAAGUCCCGCAACGAGCGCAACCCUUACCUUCAAUUGCCAGCACGUUAUGGUGGGAACUUUGAAGGAACUGCCGGUGAUAAACCGGAGGAAGGUGGGGAUGACGUCAAGUCCUCAUGGCCCUUACGGGCCGGGCUACACACGUGAUACAAUGGUAACUACAAAGAGCAGCG